This 468-nucleotide ribosomal RNA is filed under the name uncultured bacterium. RNAcentral's name for it is "partial 16S ribosomal RNA". It matches the Rfam family "Bacterial small subunit ribosomal RNA", at positions 28 to 507 of the family's 1533-position model. The record is from RNAcentral.
GACGAACGCUGGCGGCGUGCUUAACACAUGCAAGUCGAACGGAAAGGCCCUGCUUUUGUGGGGUGCUCGAGUGGCGAACGGGUGAGUAACACGUGAGUAACCUGCCCUUGGCUUUGGGAUAACUUCAGGAAACUGGGGCUAAUACCGGAUAGGAGCUCCUGCUGCAUGGUGGGGGUUGGAAAGUUUCGGCGGUUGGGGAUGGACUCGCGGCUUAUCAACUUGUUGGUGGGGUAGUGGCUUACCAAGGCUUUGACGGGUAGCCGGCCUGAGAGGGUGACCGGCCACAUUGGGACUGAGAUACGGCCCAGACUCCUACGGGAGGCAGCAGUGGGGAAUAUUGCACAAUGGGCGGAAGCCUGAUGCAGCAACGCCGCGUGCGGGAUGACGGCCUUCGGGCUGUAAACCGCUUUCGCCUGUGACGAAGCGUGAGUGACGGUAAUGGGUAAAGAAGCACCGGCUAACUACGUG